CGACGUGGUCGAGUCGGUUGAGGCUUUUCGGACCAAGGUUACAGGAUGGUGUUGAUCCCGGUGUGUUAUGGUCCGCAGACUUUGGAUUGGUACGUUUCCCUCGUCUUGUUCUUGUGGAACCGCAGUCCUAUUCUCCCCUUUUCUAAGGUUGAUCUGUCCAAUUCUAGAAUUGUGACUGACCAGUAUCCAAAGGUGUUACCGCGUUGGUGGAGCAAUGUCAGAGUUCGUUUACGGUGGGUACGUGGUCAAGUUUCGAGGACGAAACUUCUUUUAAGGGGAGGAUGAUGUAAGGACUGAGAUUUUUUGACAGUGCUACUAAACUCUCUGUUGAUGAUGUUUAUGUGUGUAAUUUAAUUACAUAA
This 362-nucleotide long non-coding RNA is filed under the name Ananas comosus (pineapple). Its description in RNAcentral is "long non-coding RNA (ACOM_LNC038947)". The record is from RNAcentral. Lineage: Eukaryota; Viridiplantae; Streptophyta; Magnoliopsida; Poales; Bromeliaceae.